AUCUAGCUAAGGAGUCCAAAAUAGAACGAAACGUGUGUCAAACUGGAU
Molecule: non-coding RNA, 48 nt
Organism: Schistosoma rodhaini
Lineage: Eukaryota; Metazoa; Platyhelminthes; Trematoda; Strigeidida; Schistosomatidae
Source: Rfam